GUCCAUGCCGUAAACGUUGGGCACUAGGUGUGGGGGACAUUCCACGUUUUCCGCGCCGUAGCUAACGCAUUAAGUGCCCCGCCUGGGGAGUACGGCCGCAAGGCUAAAACUCAAAGGAAUUGACGGGGGCCCGCACAAGCGGCGGAGCAUGCGGAUUAAUUCGAUGCAACGCGAAGAACCUUACCAAGGCUUGACAUGGACCGGACCGCCGCAGAAAUGUGGUUUCUCCUUUUGGGGCCGGUUCACAGGUGGUGCAUGGUUGUCGU
This 266-nucleotide ribosomal RNA is filed under the name uncultured bacterium. Its description in RNAcentral is "partial 16S ribosomal RNA". It matches the Rfam family "Bacterial small subunit ribosomal RNA", at positions 793 to 1055 of the family's 1533-position model. The record is from RNAcentral.